AAAGUCGUAACAAGGUAACCGUAGGUGAACCUGCGGUUGGAUCAUUAAAAAGAUGUAGACCUGAAGAGAAUCCAAGAAUGGCGAGAUAAUUUGCUGUUCUCCUAGGGGUUCUUGAAAGGCAUACCACCAACCUAUUGUGCACUGUAUUGUCUCUGGCAGCGGGGUAGCAGCGAUGUCGGAAAUUUUUUUUUCGAUGGGUGGUUGCUACCUGUCAGCCCGGAUUAAGCUGGGCCGUGGACAAACUGCCAACCGUGUAAACAAACCCAAUUUAUAUUUUAAUGUCUUACAUUGUUUGAUUACAAACAUACAAACAACUUUUGGCAACGGAUCUCUUGGCUCUC
This 341-nucleotide unclassified non-coding RNA is filed under the name Chytridiomycota sp. RNAcentral describes it as "partial contains small subunit ribosomal RNA, internal transcribed spacer 1, and 5.8S ribosomal RNA". The stretch from base 1 to 47 matches the Rfam family "Eukaryotic small subunit ribosomal RNA", at positions 1785 to 1831 of the family's 1831-position model. Lineage: Eukaryota; Fungi; Chytridiomycota. The record is from RNAcentral.